AGAACUAAAAUAAAUCAACUUAUGUUUGUUGUGUGUCAACUUAUGUUUCAACUAUACCUUCAAUUGUAGGGAAUAAAAUAUGUACGGAUAAGAAGAUCUUUAAGCAUUACCAGUAAAGCACUAUUAAAACACUUGCAUAAUGGGGUCAGCGACGGCAGAAGCCACUGGAGGUUAUGUGCGAAAGCCUCCCUGUGAUACAUCCACCAGGUUUACCAACAAAAAAAAUUACAAG
Molecule: long non-coding RNA, 232 nt
Organism: Pararge aegeria (speckled wood butterfly)
Lineage: Eukaryota; Metazoa; Arthropoda; Insecta; Lepidoptera; Nymphalidae
Exons: 2
Source: RefSeq, a predicted model, not a curated record